RNAcentral lists this ribosomal RNA (196 nucleotides) under uncultured bacterium. Its description in RNAcentral is "partial 16S ribosomal RNA". It matches the Rfam family "Bacterial small subunit ribosomal RNA", at positions 338 to 525 of the family's 1533-position model. The record is from RNAcentral.
CCUACGGGAGGCAGCAGUGGGGAAUAUUGGACAAUGGGCGCAAGCCUGAUCCAGCCAUGCCGCGUGUGUGAAGAAGGCCUUUUGGUUGUAAAGCACUUUAAGCGAGGAGGAGGCUACUUGGAUUAAUACUCUAGGAUAGUGGACGUUACUCGCAAAAUAAGCACCGGCUAACUCUGUGCCAGCAGCCGCGGUAAUA